RNAcentral lists this unclassified non-coding RNA (200 nucleotides) under Alatospora sp. Its description in RNAcentral is "partial internal transcribed spacer 2". The record is from RNAcentral. Lineage: Eukaryota; Fungi; Ascomycota; Leotiomycetes; Leotiales; Leotiaceae.
UUAAGUUCAGCGGGUAUCCCUACCUGAUCCGAGGUCAACCUUUAAAAAAAAUUGGGGUUGUUGGCAGGCACACAACCGGUUAUCCAAAGCGAGAAAAUUACUACGCUUGAAGCCGAAUGGCACCGCCACUGAUUUUACGGCCCGCCUUAGCAGGUGAGGCCUAAUACCAAGCAGAGCUUGAGGGUUGUAAUGACGCUCGA